UUCUGAAUGGGACAGUAAACAAAAAAAAAAAAAUAGAUUUGGGGUGGAAAACGGGAUGAUUUGAUGAUCCGAGAUAGAUUCAGAAUAGAAAGUGACAAAAAUUUUGAUCCGUUCUGAAUCCUCGUCGAAUCCGUCCCACUAUGAUCCUCCCAAAUCUGCCAUGAAAACUGUUUGUAUUUAAAAAAAUACACUUAAAAAAUAAUAUAUUCACAAAGAAGUCUAAAAUACAAAUAAAUUGGUACUCUCAUUUUUCACGUAUUCGAAAUUUCUAAAUUUUUGUUUCAAAUUGUGAUUGAUAUGUUUUAUUUUUGUAAUUGAUGUUGUUAAUUAUAAAUAUAACUUGAUAAUAUUAUCCAUUAUUAUUAAAAAAACUAUCAAUUAAUAUUUUAUAAAAUAUUAAUAAUAUUAUAAUUUAUAAAAAAAAGUAUUUGCUCGCGGGGCGAAUUCGGGGCAACAAACGAGAAGUGGAUUAUGAGGUUGGGGAUUAUGAAAUAUAUUUUUUAAUCCGUCACAGAUUCGAGGCAGAAGACAGGGUGAAAUUUUGAUAGUUAGGGCAAGAGGCAGGGCAUGAAUUCCGUCCCCAGAUCCAUCCCGUUUGCAUCCCUAACGUACGGCUCGUGUUAGGUACUAUCAAAUCACCUUUAGCCACCGUUUAGUUCGGGAUUAAGUAAAAACUUGUUAUUUCAGGGAUAAAGUUAAGUUUAGGGUUAAGGUGGGGUUAGAGUAAUUUUGUGUUUGGUUGAGAAUUGGGUUUAGUUCAGGUAUAGAUAAAAAGUGUUUGGUUGAAAUAGAUGGGAUAAGAAGUAUAGUGGGUAAAAUAGUGUUUUGUUUGGUUGGAGUAGUGGGGUGAGGUGCGAUUAACAAAUCCCAUCCCAAAUAGGUUAUUCCGAAGUAGACCAUUUGGAGUGGGGUUAGCUAACCCCACCAGCCAAAUUAGAUGUUUGAGAAUAAUUUCGGAGUUAAAGGGUUAUUCCACCCCUUAACUCUGAACCAAACGGGUGCUUAGUGAAUCAUUAAAGAGAGAAAUUAUUGAGUACGUAAAAGAAAAAUUAUU
This 1054-nucleotide long non-coding RNA is filed under the name Ananas comosus (pineapple). Its description in RNAcentral is "long non-coding RNA (ACOM_LNC026963)". The record is from RNAcentral. Lineage: Eukaryota; Viridiplantae; Streptophyta; Magnoliopsida; Poales; Bromeliaceae.